CCUGAUGACCAUAGUAAAUCGGUACCACCCCUUCCCAUCCCGAACAGGACCGUGAAACGAUUUUACGCCGAUGAUAGUGCUGCAACCAGUGUGAAAGUA
RNAcentral lists this ribosomal RNA (99 nucleotides) under Massilia sp. CCM 8734. Lineage: Bacteria; Pseudomonadati; Pseudomonadota; Betaproteobacteria; Burkholderiales; Oxalobacteraceae. The record is from RNAcentral.